GACGAACGCUGGCGGCGUGCUUAACACAUGCAAGUCGAACGGAAAGGCCCUGCUUUUGUGGGGUGCUCGAGUGGCGAACGGGUGAGUAACACGUGAGUAACCUGCCCUUGACUUUGGGAUAACUUCAGGAAACUGGGGCUAAUACCGUAUAGGAGCUCCUGCUGCAUGGUGGGGGUUGGAAAGUUUCGGCGGUUGGGGAUGGACUCGCGGCUUAUCAGCUUGUUGGUGGGGUAGUGGCUUACCAAGGCUUUGACGGGUAGCCGGCCUGAGAGGGUGACCGGCCACAUUGGGACUGAGAUACGGCCCAGACUCCUAAGGAAGGCAGCAGUGGGGAAUAUUGCACAAUGGGCGGAAGCCUGAUGCAGCAACGCCGCGUGCGGGAUGACGGCCUUCGGGUUGUAAACCGCUUUCGCCUGUGACGAAGCGUGAGUGACGGUAAUGGAUAAAGAAGCACCGGCUAACUACGUG
This 468-nucleotide ribosomal RNA is filed under the name uncultured bacterium. RNAcentral's name for it is "partial 16S ribosomal RNA". It matches the Rfam family "Bacterial small subunit ribosomal RNA", at positions 28 to 507 of the family's 1533-position model. The record is from RNAcentral.